Molecule: unclassified non-coding RNA, 277 nt
Filed under: uncultured fungus
Lineage: Eukaryota; Fungi
Description: partial contains 5.8S ribosomal RNA, internal transcribed spacer 2, and large subunit ribosomal RNA
Rfam family: 5.8S ribosomal RNA (bases 1-52)
Source: RNAcentral
AACGCACCUUGCACCCUCUGGUAUUCCGGAGGGUAUGCCUGUCUGAGUGUCACGUCAAUCAUCGUCCCCCUGGGUUCUGCCCGGGGGGGUCGGACUUGGGUGUUGCCCUUCCGAGGGCUCGCCUCAAAUGUGUCGGUGGUCUCUGUGCGGGCCGUGGUCUUGCGUGAUAUGUAUCGCCUGGCCGUGGUCCGACUGACCUCCUUGAAACCGCCCUUGCGCAAGCUUGGGAUCACUUGUGAUAGACCUCAGAUCAGGUAGGACUACCCGCUGAACUUAA